Molecule: ribosomal RNA, 1315 nt
Filed under: unidentified marine bacterioplankton
Lineage: Bacteria
Description: bacterial SSU rRNA
Rfam family: Bacterial small subunit ribosomal RNA
Source: RNAcentral
GAGUUUGAUCAUGGCUCAGGAUGAACGCUGGCGGCGUGCUUAACACAUGCAAGUCGAACGAACCUUCGGGUUAGUGGCGGACGGGUGAGUAACGCGUGAGAAUCUGCCCUCAGGAGGGGGACAACAGCUGGAAACGGCUGCUAAUACCCCAUAUGCCGCGAGGUGAAAUGAAUUUCGCCUGAGGAUGAGCUCGCGUCUGAUUAGCUAGUUGGUGUAGGUAAUGGCUCACCAAGGCAUCGAUCAGUAGCUGGUCUGAGAGGAUGAUCAGCCACACUGGGACUGAGACACGGCCCAGACUCCUACGGGAGGCAGCAGUGGGGAAUUUUCCGCAAUGGGCGAAAGCCUGACGGAGCAACGCCGCGUGAGGGAUGAAGGCCUCUGGGCUGUAAACCCCUUUUAUCAAGGAAGAAGAUCUGACGGUACUUGAUGAAUAAGCCACGGCUAAUUCCGUGCCAGCAGCCGCGGUAAUACGGGAGUGGCAAGCGUUAUCCGGAAUUAUUGGGCGUAAAGCGUCCGCAGGCGGCCCUUCAAGUCUGCUGUUAAAAAGUGGAGCUUAACUCCAUCAUGGCAGUGGAAACUGUUGGGCUUGAGUGUGGUAGGGGCAGAGGGAAUUCCCGGUGUAGCGGUGAAAUGCGUAGGUAUCGGGAAGAACACCAGUGGCGAAGGCGCUCUGCUGGGCCAUCACUGACGCUCAUGGACGAAAGCCAGGGGAGCGAAAGGGAUUAGAUACCCCUGUAGUCCUGGCCGUAAACGAUGAACACUAGGUGUCGGGGGAAUCGACCCCCUCGGUGUCGUAGCCAACGCGUUAAGUGUUCCGCCUGGGGAGUACGCACGCAAGUGUGAAACUCAAAGGAAUUGACGGGGGCCCGCACAAGCGGUGGAGUAUGUGGUUUAAUUCGAUGCAACGCGAAGAACCUUACCAGGGUUUGACAUCCUGCGAAUCUCUUGGAAACAGGAGAGUGCCUUCGGGAACGCAGUGACAGGUGGUGCAUGGCUGUCGUCAGCUCGUGUCGUGAGAUGUUGGGUUAAGUCCCGCAACGAGCGCAACCCACGUCUUUAGUUGCCAGCAUUUAGUUGGGCACUCUAGAGAGACUGCCGGUGAUAAACCGGAGGAAGGUGUGGAUGACGUCAAGUCAUCAUGCCCCUUACAUCCUGGGCUACACACGUACUACAAUGCUACAGACAAAGGGCAGCAAGUUCGCGAGGACAAGCAAAUUCCAUAAACCGUGGCUCAGUUCAGAUCGUAGGCUGCAACUCGCCUACGUGAAGGCGGAAUCGCUAGUAAUCGCAGGUCAGCAUACUGCGGUGAAUACGU